CGCAAUCUCUAAAAAUGCAUCAAUGCUUUCGAGAAGAGGGGUAAUCCGCACUCUAUCAAGAAGGCAAAGCUCUGAAAUCGAUGUUAACAGUCUUUUCUACUAGCUAUACUAAACAAAAAGAAGGAAUUAAUAUCAGUCCAAGAGAGGGUAAUCCGCAACCCUUAGAACGCUCAAGUAUCUCCAAGGAAAGGGGUAGUCCACUCUCUGCCUCAAAGAACUAAGCUCUAAUAUUGUGAUUGAGAAAAUAUCAGUUUAGAGGAAGGUAAUCCGCAACCCCUAAAGCACUAGAAUACCUUCAAGAAGAGGGGUAAUCCGCUCUCAAACAAGAAGGAUUCAGCUCUGAUAUUAAGAUAAAGGUAGUCUCGACAAACUAUCACGGACACAAAAUAUAGACUUGAAAUCUAACAAGAAGUUCAAGAAGAAGUGGCAGAACUAGAUUAAACAGAUGAAUACAAGAACAACACCAGAAAGGUGAGCUAGAACUCCAAGAG
RNAcentral lists this long non-coding RNA (491 nucleotides) under Physcomitrium patens. RNAcentral's name for it is "long non-coding RNA (PPAT_LNC007099)". The record is from RNAcentral. Lineage: Eukaryota; Viridiplantae; Streptophyta; Bryopsida; Funariales; Funariaceae.